Non-coding RNA from Paramisgurnus dabryanus, 2125 nucleotides. NCBI's taxonomy places the organism in Eukaryota, Metazoa, Chordata, Actinopteri, Cypriniformes, Cobitidae. The record is from RefSeq and is a predicted model, not a curated record.
UCUGUCAGUAGGGGGAGUGGGAGAACGCGUGUGUGUCGUCGUAUCUGUUCUGCUCAUCUAGCGCGUAUUUCUUUAUUAAUAUCUGCUGGGUGAAUAUUAAUACGUAUAUGCUAACAUUAAUUUUGUGACCACAAAAUGACAGCGAGCUAUUAUACUGUACGAGAUAUUGUGUCGUCGUGUUUGUCUUCACUCACUUCAUCAUUAUCUGCAAACAACUUCUGCAACUACACAAUGAUUGUCUGCCUAUGUGCAAAAUAAAGCACGUUCACUGUGUAAAACCCCGCGCAGGGCAUUUUCAAAUUAACGGUCAGGGCGAGUCUGAGCUCAUCGUGUUGUGUUGACAGAGACUUUGCUGAGGUAAGUAAGAGAAAGAAAUUAAUGUGUUAAAUAAAUAACGUUAUAAACUUGAAUUAUGUUGUGCCAGAAUACGUUGUUUAAUGAAUAUCUGUGGAAUAGGUUUAAAAUAAUACAUUAAUGACUGAACGUGAACUUGACUGAACAUUAUGGCAGCUAGAAGUAUUGAAAAGACGUAUAAUAGAUUUAACAAUGUUUUAUCUUCUUUAUUAGUGUAUGUAAAUCUGGGCUACAGUCCACGACAAAUUUUCUACGGUAGUUUUACGCCUGCAUGCUGGUCCUUUCGUCUAUCGCGGGGAUAUCAUCACUACAGCGGACAUCGCACUGAAGAGAUCCUGUGCUUGCGUGGCGGUGUGUUUGUGUGCUCACUUGGAUUGAGACCAGCAGUGCUUUUUUAAACAGUGGGUGAGUACUAACUUAUUAUUGUGUAGUUUCAUAAAAGCCUUACUCUUUUCAGUCACAUAACUUUUGUUCAUCUGCUAAUAAUAGGACUAUCCAUACACAAAGAUGUAUUGUGGAUUUAAGUAAUAUCUGCGAAUAUUUAUGUGAAAAUGUAUUAGUGUUCUGCUGACAUGAGAUCUGAAAUUGUGUUCUAGGACCUGAUAUGGAUUAAUCCAAUGAUCAACGUUUUCCUUUGUAUCCCUGUUUUGUAGAUAUGCUGCCAUUACAUGAUGGUCAUAUGUCCCGGAUGAUCGGGAGAAGUCACGUGGUUCAAUUAUUAUUAUUUUUUUACGUGGUUCAAUUAUCUGUUAAUAAAAUUUUUUUACCAUGCAUUUAGCAUCAGGCAAAGCCUGCAAUCAAUCUAUUAAGACAGAAACAAUAUCUUACUUAUUAUUAUGUUGUAAUGACAAUAUCAUGUGAUCAUCUGAGUUAGAACAAAAUCUAUUCAUUUUCAGGUAUAACUGUGCAAGUGCCCUGAAUCAUUCUGUUGAAAUGUUAUGUGUUUAAGAUUCUUUAUGACAUCAAGAUGUGGUUUGGGAAGGACCUUCAUCUAAAUCUGAAGACAGGACAUACUGGCUCAAAAAGGUGUUUCUGAUAUGGAGAAAAACCCUGCACUGCUCAUUUUAUUUCUUCAUCUUGAGAAUACAGCAAGUUUACCUUUUGUCUGGAAAAUGAUUCAGCAAAGCUAACACCAACAACAAUUUUUUAUGGCACUUUAAACCACCUUGAUGUGAGGAGCCAGCAUCAGAAUGGAUGGUGUCAAUAUCCUGAAAGUGGAGGUAACAGAGGUGGAUCUCGAGACUUGGCCAUGUUCUAGAUUAUAACUGGAUUAUCACAAGUGCUGUCGCCCCUGCUGUAUAUGACGCCCCCACCACCUACACCAGGUGUAGGAAAUGUCGGUCCUGGAGUGCCGUUGUCCUGCAGAGUUUUGCUCCAGCUCUAAACAAACACACCUGAACAACUAGAUCUGAAGAGUCACCAGAAAACUACAGGUAGGCGAGGUUUUAUCAGGGUUGGAAAUGAAAUCUGCAGGAUUUCGGCACUCCAGGACCGACGUUGCCUACUACUGACCUACACCUUCAUCCUGCCACCACCACCCAUACUACCUACAAAAAACUGUAUUGUAAUUAUGCUUUUCACUGUAUUGUAUGAUGUGGUUUUCUCAUUUAGGGUAACUACACUAUGGCAACAAUUGGAUACAUUGAUUGCUGACUGAUUUUGUUAUUUUUUCUUUACUUUUUGUUUAAAAUCUAAUCAUUUUUUUGUUAUUUUUGUUAAUAUUGUUACAAAUAUACAGUUAAAACUGCACAAUAAAUUUUCUGCUUUUAAA